This 77-nucleotide transfer RNA is filed under the name Nitrospinota bacterium. Its description in RNAcentral is "tRNA-Arg". It matches the Rfam family "tRNA". Rfam says of the family: Transfer RNA (tRNA) molecules are approximately 80 nucleotides in length. Their secondary structure includes four short double-helical elements and three loops (D, anti-codon, and T loops). The record is from RNAcentral. RNAcentral also lists the same sequence under 3 other names. Lineage: Bacteria; Pseudomonadati; Nitrospinota.
GGGCCUGUAGCUCAGGCGGACAGAGCAGAGGUUUCCUAAACCUCGUGCCGCAGGUUCGAGUCCUGCCAGGCCCACCA